AGUGAACGCUGGCGGUAGGCCUAACACAUGCAAGUCGAACGGCAGCACAGUAAGAGCUUGCUCUUACGGGUUGCGAGUGGCGGACGGGUGAGGAAUACAUCGGAAUCUACUUUUUCGUGGGGGAUAACGUAGGGAAACUUACGCUAAUACCGCAUACGACCUACGGGUGAAAGCAGGGGAUCUUCGGACCUGGCGCGUGUGGAUGAGCCGGUGGCGGAUUAGCUAGUUGGUGGGGUAGUGGCCCACCAAGGCUAUGAUGGGUAGCCGGUCUGAGAGGAUGACCGGCCACAUUGGGACUGAGAUACGGCCCAGACUCCGACGGGAGGCAGCAGGGGGGAAUAUUGCACAAUGGGCGGAAGCCUGAUGCAGCAACGCCGCGUGCGGGAUGACGGCCUUCGGGGUGUAAACCGCUUUCGCCUGUGACGAAGCGUGAGUGACGGUAAUGGGUAAAGAAGCACCGGCUAACUACGUG
Molecule: ribosomal RNA, 472 nt
Filed under: uncultured bacterium
Lineage: Bacteria
Description: partial 16S ribosomal RNA
Rfam family: Bacterial small subunit ribosomal RNA
Source: RNAcentral